CCUACGGGGGGCAGCAGUAGGGAAUAUUGCUCAAUGGGGGAAACCCUGAAGCAGCAACGCCGCGUGGAGGAUGAAGGUUUUCGGAUUGUAAACCUCUUUUGUUAGAGAAGAAAAUGACGGUACCUGACGAAUAAGCACCGGCUAACUACGUGCCAGCAGCCGCGGUAAUACGGAGGGUGCAAGCGUUAAUCGGAAUCACUGGGUGUAAAGGGCGCGUAGGCGGGAUAGCAAGUCUGAUGUGAAAUGCUAGGGCUUAACCCUAGAACUGCAUUUGAAACUGUUAUUCUAGAGUAUGGGAGAGGUAGGUGGAAUUCGUGGUGUAGGGGUAAAAUCCGUAGAGAUUAAGAGGAAUACUCAUUGCGAAGGCGGCCUGCUGGA
RNAcentral lists this ribosomal RNA (378 nucleotides) under uncultured bacterium. Its description in RNAcentral is "partial 16S ribosomal RNA". It matches the Rfam family "Bacterial small subunit ribosomal RNA", at positions 338 to 733 of the family's 1533-position model. The record is from RNAcentral.